CCUUUGACGUUAGCGGCGGACGGGUGAGUAACACGUGGGUAACCUACCUAUAAGACUGGGAUAACUUCGGGAAACCGGAGCUAAUACCGGAUAAUAUUUCGAACCGCAUGGUUCGAUAGUGAAAGGUGGUUUUGCUAUCACUUAUAGAUGGACCCGCGCCGUAUUAGCUAGUUGGUAAGGUAACGGCUUACCAAGGCGACGAUACGUAGCCGACCUGAGAGGGUGAUCGGCCACACUGGAACUGAGACACGGUCCAGACUCCUACGGGAGGCCAGCAGCC
Molecule: ribosomal RNA, 280 nt
Filed under: uncultured Staphylococcus sp.
Lineage: Bacteria; Bacillati; Bacillota; Bacilli; Caryophanales; Staphylococcaceae
Description: partial 16S ribosomal RNA
Rfam family: Bacterial small subunit ribosomal RNA
Source: RNAcentral